UCCAUGUGAGAGAGAUGCAUCAAUUGGUUGCCUCCCUCAGGGUGGAGCCUGCAACCAAGGUGUGUGCCCUUGACCAGAAUCGAACCCACAACCCUCAGUCCAAGGGCCAACACUCUAACCAAGGAGACAAACAAGUCAGGGCCUCAUACUGUCUUGACUUAAUUCUUCCUCCAACCAGACACAUGGUCACUCCCUCAGUCCAUCUGGUCCCAAUACAAUCUACACACUACCCUUCCGUCAUCUCUGCCUCAAGGAACCCUGCCUCUCUCCAGCAAUUCCACUUCUGUAUUUAUGCUCAGCCUUCUAGGGAAAUUCACCCACAUGUGAAGACUCCACAGAAUCAUGGUUUCCAAUGUCAAGUCCUGGAUCUGCCACUUCAGGCCACGAAAUGCUUGUUACUCCAUCUCUGCAAGGUUUGGCCUCCUCACCACCAAGUGGAAAUCAAGGACACCUGGCUCUCCGGAGCGCAGAGGAGGGUCGGGGCGGGCAUGCAGCACACUGUAGUAAAUGUUAGCGACAGCAAUUGCCAUCAUUGCUGACGGCCAGCCCUCCCCAAGAGGGCAAGGGGAAGUUUCUCUGAAAUACUCACAGCUGGUCCAAGCCUCCAAAUUCCUUCUCCAGCCCCUCAUCCCGCCUCUUCCGCGAUCAUUCACCACUCAGCUCCUCCUUCAUGGGGGAGACAAAGCCAUUGGCAUAGGUCUCGUUCUCAUUUGUCCACAUUCUCUGCCCAUUCCUUGCUCCAUGUUGAGGAUGUGCUCUUACCCUGGCCCUGUCCAGGGCUGAUUCCCUUCCUCGGCCUUCAGGUGCCAGCCUUGCCCCCAUGUCAGCUUCCAUCAGCGGGCCCCUCACUGUCUUGUGCCUUCGACCUCUCCAGUGGCCCCAUCCUUCCAGCAACAAAAAGCAAGCACUUAAAGAGACGUCAUUUCUGAGAAGAUGGAGUCAAUAUCGUUUUCCUGUUCCCUUCUCUAAGUACAACUAAAAACCCAGGACGUUAUAUAUAAGACAAACAUAGGAAAACUGAAAGGUGGAGAGAGGAAGACAGACUGACUACGGAUCCUAGCACUAGAGGAAGUGCAUGGUGGUGAGUUACCUGAGUCUUCUUUUUCCCUUAUCCAUCCCCAAAUUGGAGCCGAAGAAGCCAGCAACCAGGAGACACCAACAGAGAAGGAGGCAAAAAGCCCUGCUAGGGCCGCCAUAACGAAACACCACAGAUUGGAUGGCUUUGGUAUUGGGAUAAUGCUCGUCUAAUAGAUGUGAGGUAGGUAGAAACUGCUCCUUGCUCUUUGAUUUUUGAGAAGAAUUUAAGAAGGGUUGGUAUUAAUUCUUCUUUAAAUGUUUGGUAAAACUCACCGCUUAGCCACCGGGUCCAGGACUUUUCUCAGUUCAGAGAUUUUUUGAUUACUCACUCGAUCUCUGAACAAGAAUACCAAAGCCAGACGAAGAGACAAGAACACCACAGACCAAUAUCCCUUAUGAGUAUUUACUCAAAAAUCCUCAACAAAACAUGAGUAAAUCAAAUUCAGCAGCAUAUUAAAAGGAGUAUAUACCAUGACCAACUGGGAUUUAUUCCUUGAUCGCAGCUAUGGGUCAACACCCACAAAACUCAGUCAACAUGAUAUACACCAUUCAGGCACUGCAGCCCCAGUGUUAAUGAAUCAUUACAGGCUUUUCUGCUUGCUAUGUGCGUCUUCCACAUUUUACAUUCUCAUCAGCAUGUGAUCUGUUCUGACUAAACGGAUCAGCUGAGAUUGAAUUAAUUCAUUAAUUUUAGCAAAAGCAUGAGGAUGUGCGUGCGGAUGGACGGACCUCUGAUUCACAGCUGGCGGAGGAAGAUUUUUGAAUUAAUCACCAGAAUCUUAGAGGUCUCUUGUUAAAGAAGCAGGAACAUUGAGAGGAUUGAGCUUUCCUGUCUUCAGAGAGAGUGA
Pipistrellus kuhlii (Kuhl's pipistrelle) is the source of this 1925-nucleotide long non-coding RNA. RefSeq lists it as uncharacterized. NCBI's taxonomy places the organism in Eukaryota, Metazoa, Chordata, Mammalia, Chiroptera, Vespertilionidae. The record is from RefSeq and is a predicted model, not a curated record. The transcript is spliced from 2 exons.